This is a long non-coding RNA of Quercus robur (English oak), 867 nucleotides long. RefSeq lists it as uncharacterized. NCBI's taxonomy places the organism in Eukaryota, Viridiplantae, Streptophyta, Magnoliopsida, Fagales, Fagaceae. The record is from RefSeq and is a predicted model, not a curated record. The transcript is spliced from 5 exons.
GCUACACGGAGAAAGGAGAAAGAGAGACCAAGAGAAAAGAGAGACAGAGAAAUAGAGAGGCAAAGAACGGAGGAGAGAGAGAUCGAGAGAUCAAAAACUGCAGUUUGCAAUCAAGAAUGAAAAGAUGUCUCUCACUUCCUGUCAGAUUUUCUGCCAUCACCGUAAGUCUCCACUCGCUACCCGACCAUCGGAAUCGCUACUGAUUUGGUUUUGAUUAAGGGAUACGAAGAUAGAGGAACCAAGCAGAGUUCGUAGCGAUACAGAGAAAGGGAAGGAGACAAAAAAAAUUUGCGGCAUAGUGGAGAUUUAACUGAAACUGAAAGAUAUUUAGAUUCCAAAAAUAGCGAUUGAUAGAGAUCAUAAGGCAGAGAGAGACAUUUGAGGACUGCCAUUACCGCCAUUCUGGCCUUCCACAAUCAUCCGGUCUCUUGCUGACUUGCUAUCAAUAAGUUUCGAUUUUGUAAAACAUUUUUUACUUUUUGGGAAAGAAAUUGGCUUUAAAUAUUAUUUAGGCUUGGGAUUGUUUUUGCUAUACGUAUUUGGCUGAGAUUAAGAAACCGAAACAUUUAGAAUCAACAUUAAGAGAAAGUUGGUAACUGUAAGUCACGCACAAAGACGAAGAGAUGGACAACGAGAAAGAGGAAACAGAGUAUUCCCACCCAUCGGAAGCUUUAACACAAGAGUUCCUUUUCUCCCCCUACUUGGAUCAAGCCGCAUUGGUUUUUGGUGGACUUAGGAAGAAUUUUGCAGGGGUGGGUCAUUUGAAUUAAGCAUAUAAUACAAGUCUGAACAUUGUUUAUGUUGUUUUAGAAGAUUCUUUUUAAUUUUAAAAUUUUAAAUUUAUUUACUUUAAAACUUAGUUUUUUC